AGUGAACGCUGGCGGUAGGCCUAACACAUGCAAGUCGAACGGCAGCACAGUAAGAGCUUGCUCUUACGGGUGGCGAGUGGCGGACGGGUGAGGAAUACAUCGGAAUCUACUUUUUCGUGGGGGAUAACGUAGGGAAACUUACUCUAAUACCGCAUACGACCUACGGGGGAAAGCAGGGGAUCUUCGGACCUUGCGCGAUUGAAUGAGCCGAUGGCGGAUUAGCUAGUUGGCGGGGUAAAGGCCCACCAAGGCGACGAUCCGUAGCUGGUCUGAGAGGAUGAUCAGCCACCCUGGAACUGAGACACGGUCCAGACUCCUACGGGAGGCAGCAGUGGGGAAUAUUGGACAAUGGGCGCAAGCCUGAUCCAGCCAUACCGCGUGGGUGAAGAAGGCCUUCGGGUUGUAAAGCCCUUUUGUUGGGAAAGAAAAGCAGCAGGUUAAUACCCCGCUGUUCUGACGGUACCCAAAGAAUAAGCACCGGCUAACUUCGUG
This 492-nucleotide ribosomal RNA is filed under the name uncultured bacterium. RNAcentral's name for it is "partial 16S ribosomal RNA". It matches the Rfam family "Bacterial small subunit ribosomal RNA", at positions 29 to 507 of the family's 1533-position model. The record is from RNAcentral.